GAUUUGGGUAUCUCUGUGUCAUUUCGAUAGCUGGACCUCAUGCUAAGCUGGUUCACUUUAUCAGCCUCAAUUUGUCACUAGGAAAUAGCCUGUGGAUAAGGCCGAUUCUCAGCACUGUAAGGAGACAUCACUAUUUAACGCCUAUUACAGGGCCUGAUUAAGCAAAUGGAAAUUACCUGACAAGUUGCCCCACAUGUCUGCUUAAACGCUUGCUCCAGAGGUAAUAUUUACUGUGCCCUGACUUGUAGAGCUGGCUAUGAAGGUGUCAGCUUGCUCUUUCAUGGCUGAGCUUUUACUGAGGUUGGUUUAAAUGCAGGGUGACUUGCUUUUCCCCUCUUUGUACUAACAGUAAUGAGACAGGGAAGGAAGGAUGUGAAGGGGAGCCCUGUAAAUGACAGCCUGAGCCGAAGACCGCACCUAGUGGGGGCUGGUAUCGUGAGUGUGGAAAAAGUCAGUGGGAGCAUGGUGAGAACUUGCUGGCACCUCUGUAGAAAACUGGUGGAGGAAUCAGGACGAUCUGACUGACCCACUUAAGGGAGAGGAAGGAGAGCGUGACCAGGCAAGGAAAGAAAUAUUGAAUUGGGGGGAGGAAGCCCUCCUAGGCGAUGAAUGCCCCUUCUUUCCAAGAGAUGCCUGGUUGCCUCUUUCCAUGGGUGCCUGGUAAUAAAACCUCUUUCACAUGAACA
Molecule: long non-coding RNA, 686 nt
Filed under: Anas platyrhynchos platyrhynchos (common mallard)
Lineage: Eukaryota; Metazoa; Chordata; Aves; Anseriformes; Anatidae
Description: lncRNA (ENSAPLG00000025792.1)
Source: RNAcentral